This 484-nucleotide ribosomal RNA is filed under the name uncultured bacterium. RNAcentral's name for it is "partial 16S ribosomal RNA". It matches the Rfam family "Bacterial small subunit ribosomal RNA", at positions 30 to 507 of the family's 1533-position model. The record is from RNAcentral.
AUUGAACGCUGGCGGCAGGCCUAACACAUGCAAGUCGAGCGGAUGAAGGGAGCUUGCUCCUGGAUUCAGCGGCGGACGGGUGAGUAAUGCCUAGGAAUCUGCCUGGUAGUGGGGGAUAACGUCCGGAAACGGGCGCUAAUACCGCAUACGUCCUGAGGGAGAAAGUGGGGGAUCUUCGGACCUCACGCUAUCAGAUGAGCCUAGGUCGGAUUAGCUAGUUGGUGGGGUAAAGGCCUACCAAGGCGACGAUCCGUAACUGGUCUGAGAGGAUGAUCAGUCAAACUGGAACUGGGACACGGUCCCGACUCCUAAGGGAAGCAGCAGUGGGGAAUAUUGGACAAUGGGCGAAAGCCUGAUCCAGCCAUGCCGCGUGUGUGAAGAAGGUCUUCGGAUUGUAAAGCACUUUAAGUUGGGAGGAAGGGCAGUAAGUUAAUACCUUGCUGUUUUGACGUUACCAACAGAAUAAGCACCGGCUAACUUCGUG